This 229-nucleotide ribosomal RNA is filed under the name uncultured bacterium. Its description in RNAcentral is "partial 16S ribosomal RNA". It matches the Rfam family "Bacterial small subunit ribosomal RNA", at positions 568 to 796 of the family's 1533-position model. The record is from RNAcentral.
UACGUAGGCGGAAGAUUAAGUCAGUAGUGAAAUCCUGCAGCUUAACUGUAGAACUGUUAUUGAUACUGGUUUUCUUGAAUAUAGUUGAGGUAGGCGGAAUGUGUAAUGUAGCGGUGAAAUGCUUAGAUAUUACACAGAACACCGAUUGCGAAGGCAGCUUACUAAGCUAUGAUUGACGCUGAGGCACGAAAGCGUGGGGAGCGAACAGGAUUAGAUACCCUGGUAGUCC